This 332-nucleotide ribosomal RNA is filed under the name uncultured eukaryote. RNAcentral describes it as "partial 18S ribosomal RNA". It matches the Rfam family "Eukaryotic small subunit ribosomal RNA", at positions 592 to 976 of the family's 1831-position model. The record is from RNAcentral.
CAAUAGCGUAUAUUAAAGUUGUUGCAGUUAAAAAGCUCGUAGUUGAAUUUCGGGUCCCCGCGCUCGGCGCUUCAUUGUGCCGUCGUGGUGUCCCUCCUCGCCGUAAGGCGUCCUUUACUGUGAAAAAAUUAGAGUGUUCAAAGCAGGCAAUCGCUUGAAUACAUUAGCAUGGAAUAAUAAGAUAGGAUCUUGUCUAUUUUGUUGGUUGCGGACAACGAUAAUGAUUAAUAGGGAUAGUUGGGGGUGUCCGUAUUGAGCUGUCAGAGGUGGAAUUCUUGGAUUUGCUCAAGACGAACUACUGCGAAAGCAUUCACCAAGGAUGUUUUCAUUAA